GGGGUUGUGGCUCAGUGAUAGAGUGCUCAUCUAACAUAUGUGAGGCCCUAGGUUCGAUCCUCAAUACCUCA
This 71-nucleotide transfer RNA is filed under the name Marmota monax (woodchuck). It matches the Rfam family "tRNA". From Rfam's summary of the family: Transfer RNA (tRNA) molecules are approximately 80 nucleotides in length. Their secondary structure includes four short double-helical elements and three loops (D, anti-codon, and T loops). Lineage: Eukaryota; Metazoa; Chordata; Mammalia; Rodentia; Sciuridae. The record is from Rfam by way of RNAcentral.